GUGCUCGCUUCGGCAGCACAUAUACUAAAAAUUGGAACGAUACAGAGAAGAUUAGCAUGGGCCCUGCGCAAGGAUGACACGCAAAUUCAUGAAGAGUCCACAAUUUUU
Small nuclear RNA from Ochotona princeps (American pika), 108 nucleotides. NCBI's taxonomy places the organism in Eukaryota, Metazoa, Chordata, Mammalia, Lagomorpha, Ochotonidae. The record is from Ensembl.